UACGGAGGGUGCAAGCGUUAUUCGGAAUUACUGGGCGUAAAGCGCCCGUAGGCCGCUUUGGAAGUCAGGGGUGAAAUCCCACGGCUCAACCGUGGAACUGCCCUUGAUACUGCGAAGCUUGAAUCCUGGAGAGGGUGGCGGAAUUCCCAGUGUAGGAGUGAAAUCCGUAGAUAUCAGGUGGAACACCGGUGGCGAAGGCGGCCACCUGGACAGGUAUUGACGCUGAGGUGCGAAAGUGUGGGGAGCAAACAGG
Molecule: ribosomal RNA, 253 nt
Filed under: uncultured bacterium
Lineage: Bacteria
Description: partial 16S ribosomal RNA
Rfam family: Bacterial small subunit ribosomal RNA
Source: RNAcentral